UGAAUACGAGACGCUAAGGCGUCGAAGUAGUGUAUGUCAUACUUCCAAGAAAAGCUUGCACUGUCAUAAGUAAAAAAUGCCUGUACCAUAACCGACACAGGUGGGUAGGUAGAGUAUACUAAGGGGCGCGAGAUAACUCUCUCUAAGGAACUCGGCAAAAUAACUCCGUAACUUCGGGAGAAGGAGUACCUUAUUCUAUAAGGUUGCAAUAACAAGAUCCAAGCAACUGUUUAUCAAAAACACAGGUCUCCGCUAAGUCGUAAGACGAUGUAUGGGGGCUGACGCCUGCCCAGUGCCAGAAGGUUAAAGAAGUCGGUUAGCAUUAGCGAAGCUGGUAACUGAAGCCCUGGUGAACGGCGGCCGUAACGAUAACGGUCCUAAGGUAGCGAAAUUCCUUGUCGGGUAAGUUCCGACCCGCACGAAAGGCGUAAUGAUUUGGAUACUGUCUCGGAGAGGGGCUCGGUGAAAUAGACUUGUCUGUGAAGAUGCGGACUACCUGCACCAGGACAGAAAGACCCUAUGAAGCUUUACUGUAACUUGAAAUUGAAAUUGGACUUUAUUCGCGCAGUAUAGGUGGGAGGUGUUGAUUAUAAUCUUGCGGGAUUAUUGGAGCCAUCAGUGAGAUACCACUCUUGUAAUGUUAGAUUUCUAACUUUGAAUCAUUAUCUGGUCAAAGGACAGUUUCAGGCGGGCAGUUUGACUGGGGCGGUCGCCUCCCAAACGGUAACGGAGGCGUACAAAGGUUUCCUCUGAACGGGUAGAAAUCGUAUCUAGAGUGUAAAGGCAUAAGGAAGCUUGACUGUGAGACCUACAAGUCGAACAGGGACGAAAGUCGGUCUUAGUGAUCUGACGGUACUGAGUGGAAAGGCCGUCACUCAACGGAUAAAAGUUACUCUAGGAUAACAGGCUGAUCUCCCCCAAGAGUUCACAUCGACGGGGAGGUUUGGCACCUCGAUGUCGGCUCAUCGCAUCCUGGGGCGGUAGUACGUCCCAAGGGUUGGGCUGUUCGCCCAUGAAAGCGGUACGCGAGCUGGGUUCAGAACGUCGUGAGACAGUUCGGUCCAUAUCCGGUGUAGGCGUUAGAAUAUUGAGAGGAGCCUUCUUUAGUACGAGAGGACCGAGAAGGACAUACCUCUGGUGUACCAGUUAUCGUGCCAACGGUAAACGCUGGGUAGCUAUGUAUGGAGUGGAUAACCGCUGAAAGCAUCUAAGUGGGAAGCCCACCUCAAGAUAAGUAUUCCC
This 1242-nucleotide ribosomal RNA is filed under the name metagenome. RNAcentral describes it as "bacterial LSU rRNA". It matches the Rfam family "Bacterial large subunit ribosomal RNA", at positions 1564 to 2815 of the family's 2925-position model. The record is from RNAcentral.